Molecule: small RNA, 71 nt
Filed under: Lachnospiraceae bacterium A2
Lineage: Bacteria; Bacillati; Bacillota; Clostridia; Lachnospirales; Lachnospiraceae
Description: int-alpA RNA
Rfam family: int-alpA RNA
About the family: Acidobacteria (1 example), Planctomycetes (1 example), Proteobacteria. Environment (Lake Washington)
Source: Rfam by way of RNAcentral
CAACGGGAUAGCCCGACGGGGCGAAAAGCAAAACCGUGAUUGCCUGUCCGUUGUUUCAACUAAUAUCACGG